UUUUGAGUGCAUUCACAACAAGCCACCUGCACACAACUUACAAAAUGCAAAAGUGCAUUUGAGGGUUCGUUUUUCUGAUGAAAAUAGUUAUUUGAUGCAUGGCCUACUAUUUCUAACUGGAAAAAUACAUUCCUAUGUCUUUUGUGAGUAAAAUCCUUUUUCCAAAAUUGAUUUAGGUACAUUUUUGUGACGAGGUAUGAGGGUUGUGAUAUGGGUCAUUUAAUAGUACAAUCAUUUAAGGGAUCAAUACAUUUCUAUGUUGCUUCCCCAGUAUCUGCAUGAACCAUCAGGCCAAGUGUUUUUGGUUGACCCUGCUGGACAGAAAGAGGAGGAGGAAUCGGAACACGCUGCAUUCAAAUUCAGAGUUCAACAAAGCCAAUAACUGCUUCAUGUGUGCCACUGAUAAAGAACCUGGAUGUGGCCCAAAGACUGACUGGAUCUGUUGGGAGCUGUGAAUGCUGAAGUCAAUACACUGACAGGGAGAGAGAGGCAGUCUGUCACUCUACACACUGGACUAACUGGACUACAGGCUGACAAUAUAUUUUGGUUCUUUGGUCCCUUCAUUCCAAACACCUCAAUAGUUGAGAGUCAGGUCAUCAGAGGAGAGAACAUCACAGAAUUCAAAGGAAGAUUCCGAGAAAAACUGCAGCUGGACAGAGAAACUGGAUCUCUCACCAUCAGAAAUCUCACCCUCAACAACUCUGGAGUUUAAUCAGCUAGAUUUUUGUGUGAUUAAUCUACACAAAAUACUCCAUAAUGUCAAAGUGAAAAGAAAACUAUAAAAAAUGUUCAACCCCUUUGUUAGAAGCCUAAAAUAGUUCAGGAUUAAGAUUGGCCUAACAAAUCACAUACUCUGUGUGAAAUAAUAUAAUAAUAUGAUUUUUGAAUGACUACCCCUUCCUGUGUACCUGAUAGGCUACAUACAACAUCUGAAGGUCCUUCAGUUGAGUAGUGAAUUUGAAGCACAGAUUCAACAACAAAGACCAGGGAGAUGUUCCAGUGCCUCAUUAAAUCCAUUCCAUUUUGUAGAACAAUAAAAUAGUUAUUAUAGGCACUAUAUUAUUAUUAUAUAAGAGGCUAUAUUAUAAUGCUAGCCAAGUUGUUGCAGUUUUUUUCAAUCACUUUGGCACAUUUUUCAGAUGUAAGGUAUAUUUUCAAAACUCUUGGUACAACACUUGUAAUGCCCCCUGUCUCAUAUUCAGAACCUUUGAAUUAGGAUUAAUUUAAGGUCAAAACAUCUUUCACCCCUGAGUCAUUAAUGAAAAAUGUUUUCUUCAGAAAAUAACAUGAACAUUUAAUUUAGUCACCAAUACUGAGAAUGAUACAGGCUCACCAUUUAGUAAUUUUAACGUAACAUUUAACCUAAUAACACAAAAUACAUGAUACAAUUUUCAAAGCGGAUAUUUUUGAAGUGCUGAAUAGAAUAAACAAUAGAGGAUAAAUAACAUUUUCCAUACAGUUUUAUCAAACGUUGGAGCAUGUUGAGAUGUUUUCUUUUACUUACAGAAACAGUUUCUUUAUACAGUACAAACGAAGAAGAAAUCAUCAGAUAUAGGAUUAUUGUGGCAUGUAUUGUGAAAACAGAAGCCAACAGUAAAAGGAAUUGAUGUAGUUUCUGCCCAAAACUGUAUGUCUGUACUGUAUGUCGUUUCUGCCCAAAACAACAUUACACAAUAUAUACUUUUAUGUGACGUGUUACUGUAACUGCUAAAGUAUCAUCACCAUAAAUCAUCAGAUUAAAGUGUAUAAAUUAAAAUCUGAUAUUUACAACACAAUUGUAGCGAUUGCUAUUAUGUCCUCAGUCACCUAAUCUGAAGCCGAAUUAUGAAUAGGCCUAACCAGACAUUGAGAAUGUAAACCGUUUAUGCGAAUCACAUGCAUGUUCUUGAAAUAAUUUGGGGUUACGAUGUGAUGUUUUUUGAUCACCUGUCAAAUAAAAUAACCAUGUUUAGAGUUUGUGGUCGAACGCAGACACUUGGAUUGUGCGCGCAAAACCUCUUGUGCGUUGCUCGGUAGCCUAAAAUGCUUAGUCUAAUCAUGUAUUUAGUUUAGGCUUACUUAUCGAAAUUUACAACUACAAUGUUAUCAUAUAUAACAAUUAAAACGUGAAGGUAUAUCAAAACUAAUAUUAAACGAUUACCUUGAUAAUUGUUCAUUUCCUGGUACGAGUUUUGACUGUCAAACAGUUCGAGCUCAUAGUUUAUUCAGUGUAGCCUACGGGUAUAAAGGAAAUAGUUUAUCCCAGAGGAGGCAGGAGCUAUAUGAUAAUGUUUUGGGGAUUAUGCUGUUUGUUAUUUUUGUUUGUAUGUAGUGUUCAGUCACCGGCAUAAUUUGUCACUUUCUAAAUUAAAAGUCUCACUCUGGCAAGAAAAACUA
Long non-coding RNA from Oncorhynchus mykiss (rainbow trout), 2376 nucleotides. RefSeq lists it as uncharacterized. NCBI's taxonomy places the organism in Eukaryota, Metazoa, Chordata, Actinopteri, Salmoniformes, Salmonidae. The record is from RefSeq and is a predicted model, not a curated record.